GGGUCUUCAUGGCCCGACCUCCAACCCUCUGUUGUUAAAACUACCUUGUUGCUUUGGCGGGACCGUCUCGGUCUCCGAGCGCACUAACCCUCGGGUUGGUGAGCGCCCGCCAGAGUCCAACCAAACUCUUGUAUUAAACCAGUCGUCUGAGUAUAAAAUUUUAAUUAAAUUAAAACUUUCAACAACGGAUCUCUUGGUUCUCGCAUCGAUGAAGAACGCAGCGAAAUGCGAUAAGUAAUGUGAAUUGCAGAAUUCAGUGAAUCAUCGAAUCUUUGAACGCACAUUGCGCCCCUUGGUAUUCCGAGGGGCAUGCCUGUUCGAGCGUCAUUACACCACUCAAGCAUCGCUUGGUAUUGGGAACGGUCCGUCGAAAGGCGGGCCUUCCUCGAAGACCUCGGCGGGGUUCAACCAACUUCGGGCGUAGUAGAGUUAAAUCGAACGUCUUAUAAGCUUGGUCGGAUCUCAUUGCCGUUAAACCUUUAAAUUUUCUAGGUUGACCUCGGAUCAGGUAGGGAUACCCGCUGAACUUAAGCAUAUC
This 538-nucleotide ribosomal RNA is filed under the name uncultured fungus. RNAcentral's name for it is "eukaryotic LSU rRNA". The stretch from base 174 to 327 matches the Rfam family "5.8S ribosomal RNA". Lineage: Eukaryota; Fungi. The record is from RNAcentral.